UCAACCCUGUGAUGAAAUACCUAAGACAAACAACUUAAAGAAGGAAGAGCUUAUUUUGGCUCAUUAUUUCAGAAGUUUCAGCCCAUGGUCAGCUUGUUCCAUUGCUUUUAGGCCUCUAGCAAGGCAGAAGCUUCAUGCAGGAAGGGUAUGACAGCAUUGUUCACAUAAUGGCCCCAUCCUAGGGCAGCAUCUCUGCUUGUGGCAUUUUUGUAGCUUUUGAACAAAAUCCUUGGGGUGGCCAAUGUAAGACUCAUCACAAGUGCAUUGGGUUGCAAACUUAAUCUAUCUAGGUGGCCAGGCUGUUCUUGAAAUACACAGCUGAUGGCUGUGACAGACCAGAGAGGCCUGUCUUCUCAAGCCCUGCCAUGAACGACUCUGGGAGAAAAUGAGCAUUGCUAGACUUUCAGAAAUGUCAAGAGAAGCAUCAAGACCGAGCUUGACGUGCACUCAUCUGGUUUUAAUACCAGCAACCAAUAUCCUAAAACAUACUCAGCAAUACUGCAGCCCAAACCAAAUGCAGGAGAGCUAUUUCCCAAGGGUGGCGCUCUCAUUUUUGCUGUGACGCUAGAUUCGGUGCCUGAUCCAGGGCUGGGUCCCUCUUUCCACGUCAGAGGGGACCCACCUGCACUAGUGACACCUUUCUGGGUGUGCAGGAAAACAGCCAAGUGUUAAAUAAACAUCCACUAAUUAUCCUGAGAAUAUUUAUUGAGGUUUCCCCACAUUGUAGUAAGAAAUUAUUGAAACACAUAUCAUCUACAGAGCUGUUAAUCACUGGUAAAUAUAUUUUAAAUACAGCAGUCUAUUAGUAUUUUAAUUUAGCCUGUCUCCUAGAGAAUAUGUACUGGAUCAGACAAAUGUCCCAAGCUUCAGAGCCAAGGGAAAAAUUUCCUCACCUAGUUAAUCUUUAUGUUCUUCUCUCAGGGAGGAAAUUCCUGCAGUACCACAAGAGAAAUAUUCCUCCUGGCUGUAUUGAUGGCAAGUCCUUGGGGAGGUCUCUGAGGCGAGGCAAGGAGACCACAGCUCUGGAGAGGUCAGAGAGCACAGGACCAGGGCAGGGCGAGGAGUUAGGGUUGCUAUUAGCUUGGUCACUUUCUUGCCAGUUUACUUAAGUGCAAAAUUGUGCAACUCAAAAGCAGUAACUGAUUUACUCAACCUCACUGAGCGCGGUGGACUUGUCCAACUUGAGCGCUCUGCACGGAAUUGUUCAUCUCCCCUCUCUGCAGCCGGACUUCCGGUCUAGGUAUUGAUUCAGACUUCCUGCUUCACAUGUGCCUUUACGUCAGCUGGGGCCGCUCAGUAGGGCCAGACACAGUGACGGGCUGAGAAAUUUCUUGCUAGCCUCUGCCUUGUAGGCUACUGUGUGGGCUUUGUGGAACCUUCUCGUCUAAGCUGUGUGUUCAUUGGACAGACCCAGUGCAGCACAGGAUACUUACCAGCUGUAGCAGGCAGGCCUGCUGUGCGCCGAGCUGUGUCCCGGGCACAUCCGGUUCAGGGCCCAGAGGCGGGCAGUUCGGGAAGCGUGGACGGCCGCGUGUCUGCUUCGCUGCCUCUUGGAGAGGCCUGACUCGGCGCAGGUGCCGCCAGGAGGUGGGGUUGGCGUCCCGUCCCCGUCCCCAGGGAGGACUUCGCCCCAGGGAGACAGGAGGCGGUGGUCAAGGCCUUGGGCCCCGGCGGGGCGGCGCGGUGAGCCACUCCAAGGGCGCUGGGCACAGCUCCUCGGAGAGACCCGGGCCGAGGCCCGCCUGCCCCGUGGUUCUCGUCCGGUCAACAGCGUCCAUUUCACUUGCUUUUCCAUGUAGCUCUCCCCAUCCCUCACUGCUCCUUUCUCAAAAACAGCUCUCAAACUCCCUGCACUCGAGUCUCUGCCUCAGGCUCUGCUUUUGGAGGUCCCCCCCUCAGGGCGGACUCUUUCCUACUCCGGGUGCUCACUGACCAGGACAGGGGCAGAUUUCCCAAGAGGAAUGUGAGGGAGGAGAAUGGAGGAGGGCUGGGAAUCCUGAGAGAAAAAGGAAGAAGGUUGGGUUCUCCUAAGUGCACACAAACAAGCUACCCAAGGGCAAACGCCAACACUCAAAUGCUUAGGAAGGAGUUCACCAGCUCUUUUUUCAUCUUUCUGUUCCCUUCUGUGUGCUGUGAGGUCAUAGGCAGUCUUCACAGGAGCUUUUUUGUCCCCAGCAUGGCCCUAGCUGAGACGUUGUCUUCUGAUACCUGGUUGCUUGGCGAUCCAGCGAUGUAUUUCUUGAAGCACGGUGUGUGCGGUUGAAGUCCACCUGCAAUGCUGCCCCUGCUCAGGAGGCGUCCCUGAUGCCUUCCUGAAGUCACCGCCUCCCAGAAGUUUCUGUCUCAGCUCUCUGCACAGCAGUGCUGUGAAGUGAAGAGCUGAGAGGGUCAGGGGCAUAACCAGUGUGCACUCACUCCUUACCGUGCAGGGGAAUGUUGCUGCAUAUGUUUCCUGUUCAGUCUCAGGCUGGAAGGGCAGUGGCUGAGACAUAGUCUCAAGAAAGAGAUUGGACAGUCCCAGAAGGGAGAGCAGGAAUGGACAGCCCUGACUCUGAAUUCUGAAACCAUCCCUUCCACUCACACCUUAUUAGACCAAGCAAGUCCUAUGUCCAAGCCUCUAAUAUCAGGGUGCUAGGAAGCACGGCCUUCUCACGAGAAAUAUGCCGGCACACCUGUAAACAGAUACACGCGAAACAUCCAUCACAUAUUAGGUUCCAGAGCAGGUGGUAUAUUCUUUCCUUGUGGGAUUUACAAUUUCCUCCAUUGUCUGGAUGCCAAUUACAUGCAGCUUUAUCUCCCAGCCACACUGUGAGUUUCUUCAGGGCAGAAUCCAUGUAAAACAGCUCUCAGUACCUCCCCACCAAUUAACUCAGAAAAGGGAUAUUGCACAUAGUAAUAUAUGAUCAGAUUCUGGGGACAUUUUGAAGGUAGAGCAGGAAGAAUUUGCCGACCGAUUGGAUAUAUGCUGUGUAAGAGAAAGAGAGAGAAGGUGAUGUUGGAUUUGACCGGAGCAAUUCAGGGAAUUCAGGUGCCCUGUACACACGUGGGGAAACUGUGGGAGGAACUGACACUCAGGAAAUGGAAGAUAAUUAAUAGCUAUUUUAUUGCUUCCAGAAGUGUGGAAUGCUCAAUAUUUAUGAGUGGAAGAUGAGAUGUUCAGGUGAGACAGAGACCCGAGAACAUUUAAUGUUGAAUCCGAGCUAGAAAGUGAUUUGUCUUUCAGUUCUUUAUUGGCUCUUUUGAUUAGUUAAAAGCAGUCUCAGUUUGGUGCUGGUGGGUCUUUAAACAUUUGCUGAUUUCCCUUUUUAGAAAAGAGAUGUCAUGCUGAAGGCUUAGGGAAUGGGCUGGCAGCUAUCUCUAGCUAGGCUUAAUAAUAGCGUUUUCUUUUCAUUGUGUUUCUUUUUCUGGGUAACUUCUUCUUAUGACUUCGGGUGCUGGCUCGUUUAUAGGCUAGCUAUGUAUUUCCCCUUAAAAUGAAUUUAUUUAUGUUAAAAGGGAAUCGGUUUACAAAUAGAUGUUUAAGUAAACCCAUGUGUCCAUUUAUUUAGGAAGUAUUUGGGUACUAGAGAUACAGGUAGGAUCACAGGCUUCUUGGAGCUCUCAGUCCAGCGGGGAGGUGACUGACAGACAAAGAGAACAGGUGAAAUGGGAAGCAUUUUAGGUCGUGGUAAGGCCUAUGGAAUAAAUGAAGCAGAAAAGAGGGAGUGGUUCUGGGGUGGGUGGGGGGUUGCAGUUUAAGUGGCAUGGGUGUCCAGGGACUGUGGGCGUGGAGAAGGUAGCAGUUAGAGAAAGGCCCGAAGAAGCUAGCCACACUGGCAUCCAGGGGGGAGUGUUCCUGGCUCAGAAAGGCAAGCAUGAAGUCCCUGGCAUGUGGGAGAAGGACAAGAGAAUGAGUCUGAGUAUGAGAGAUGCAAAGAGCAAGGAGGGAGGAGUGGAGCGUCCUGGCGACGGGGAGGAAGGUGGAAGACCAUGCAGGACCCGUGCGGCGCUGUCCGAAGCUCAGCUCUGCCGCAGUGACUUGGGGAGUCCUGGGGGAUUCUGAAGGGGCAAGCCGCACGAUCUGCCUUCCAGUUGAAAGGGCCCCUGCGGUUGCUGUGUCUGGAACAGGCCCAAAGUGGGGCUGCCCUGCAGAAUGCAGAGGGCUCAGCCAGGAGAGCCUCGAGGAGUUCCGUGCCGUCCAGGUGACUGAGAGGCCUGGUAGCCGGCAAGCCAACACUGUGGCUGUGGGAUAUUUGAGGCUGCGGUGUAGGGGAGGGUCCCGCCUGGGGACUCCAAUGCAGGUGCCAUCAGCAGGUAGAUGGAGUCAGAUGGUCACACACGAGAUGUGGCCGAGACAGAGCGGGAUCUCCUCUCCUCCCUGCUGCAGCUCACUGUGGCUCUUUGGUUGGUGGCUGAGGUCUGGGCCCAGCUACGGCAGGUGCAGGUGGUCAAGGUUAUCUUCCUAGUGACUCUGGGAAACACUCCAGUUUCUGGGAAACGGUGGCCCCAGAAGGGCAAAGAAGAUUUGCCUUGAAAACCUGUGCUUUCAGCCCAAGCACUGCGCAUGCCAAGCAUUACACAUCCAGCUUUUCAGACAGACCCGUCUUGUCAUUCUGGCUUCCUAGACCUUGCUUUUCUUCUCUGCAGAGUUCAUAUUUUCACUGGGAAACAGUUGUCUGAAGCCUGAACUGUAUAUGUCAAAACAUCCUGUUAGGGUUUUCUGAGGUUUCUGAUGUUGGACAAUUCAGGGCAUUAGAUUUCCACAUCAGAGAAGGGAAUUUUCUUCCUGUCAUUAUGAUAUCACUGUAGAUGGGUCUCCACUGCUCUGGGUCAGGGGCCAAAGCAAGAUAGAAGCCUUAGAUGCGCAGAAAGUGAAACCAGCUCAGCUUGAGAAUUGGGAGGAGAAUUUAAAAUAAUAAUAACCACCAUCAAGUGGACGCUUAUGUUUGCUGGUUUCUGUUUUGUGGUGGAUGCUACUGGUGACCUAAUAGGAGUCCUACCCAUCCUCCAGCUGCCAUGGGCUACCUUCUGAAGGUAGUUCUGAGCCGCCUUCUGGCUGAAUAAGCUACCUUUCCCACCUUAAUGGGAGCCUCCUCCCCUGCCUGAAUAGGAACCACCUCCUCUGGCCAAACAGGGCUGCCUCACCUGGCUGAAUAGGGGCCAUCUCACCUGCCCACGAGACAGGGGUCAGUCAGCAGCCGAUACCAUAGCUGAUGCAGUGUGGCCUCCUGGCUUCCAUGUGGGACCAGCUCUGUGGUUCAGGGUGUGGUCUGGAGCUUCCUCAGGAUCAGGCUGAAGGCAGCCCUGGGCUGAGACCACAUCCCUGCCUUUCUUCCAUCUUUCAUCCCGUUCUGCUUCCCUCACUGUCCUCUUCCCUGGAGCUCUCUGCAUCUCAGAAUCCAGUCUCAGGCUUGCUGUCUAGGGCGCUCCGCUUCACUGUCUGAUGUAUUAAGGGUGAUACGAUCCUCUCAGUGAGCCUCUGACACAGAAUAACGACAAUGUAAUGAUAGGAACACUGCUAACAACAGCACUGAUUCUCCUCUGCAGACUCAGGGAGGUAAGUGAGCAGCCCAGGGCCAAAUCCAGCAUUUGCUCUGAAGUUCUUGUUCGAACAAUAUGACUCCUGACCUUUCCAUGCAGGUGGUCACAGGUAUUUGCAAGUUCAAAUGUUUUCUGCUUUUCUCUUCUUUGGGGGCCAAUCAUGGACUUGGUAAACAGUACUGACCGGUAGGCCAGGGAGCAGCCACCUGCAGUGACCAUGGGCAGAGGGAUAAAGGACACCUGGACACUGGGGAGACAGAGCGAGGUGUUUAUUCAUCAAAUGGAGAUCCACAUCAAAUGCUGGGAGGAAGAAGUAGCUCUUCCUGGAAAAUCUGAAGACCUCUGCCAUGGGAUACAGCAGGGAAUUUCAGCUGUUUGUAAGUCUCUCAUGUUCUCUUGAGCUCCUGCUCUGGAUUUGCUGGCAGAGGCUUUCUGUGCAGGGUUUCCGUAGCCUAGUGUUCAGGAGACAUCAAUACCUGUCUAGGCCCUACCACUAACUACCAAUGUCUCCUUGCUAACUGAAGCCAUUUCCUCACCUGUAAAAUGGGAGAAAAUACUUCUACCCCAUCUUCUUAAAAUCACUGUAAGUACAUGAAAACCUGCAACAGGCUGUGCCCGGAGAGAGAGAGUGGAUUUAGGCUGCUUGUUGGAUUGCGGAGUGAGGGCAGGGUCUGGGUUCCCUGGAUGAUACCCAAGUGUACUGAGGGCUUCCGCCCCCUGGCGGAUCGGCUCUGCACUCAAACUGGAGGAGGAACUCCAGGCGCGUCUUUAAGGCGAACACCCACACCCUACCAACCACGGUGGGAAGGCAGCGAGAGAACAGUCCAUGGCUAGGGAGGAUCUGGGGGGCUUUGGUUGACAGUAAAGUCAAUAGCAGCCAAAAAUGAUGACAGCAUUGUCCUUGCAGAAACACAAAUAUGAUUCUCCCCUUCUGGAAGAGGAGGGCAUGAUCUCAUUCUUCCUCAGUCGAGGGAGAUUGUAGUUGGAAAAUAAAAUUGUAACGAUGGGAACUUACAUUCAUCGACCACUUACAUCAUGUCCUGCACUGAGCUAAGUGUUUUAUAAGCAUUGUCCUCUUCAAUUCUCACAGCAUCUUAUGUUAGAGGAAAUAGUAUUUUUAAUACUACAGAGGGGGGAAUUGGGGCUUGGAUAGGUGGCUUUUCCCAGAACCCUACAAUGAGUAAGUUGACAUCCUUACCAAGAACAAAGUGUGUCUUGGUCUGAGGGCCGUGCUUCACUGUGGGUCUGGCCGUCACGUUCAUGGGUCGCUGUCAGACAGCAGAAAAUAUUAGAGCGCAUGGCAAAUAGUAGGGUGACUUCACACAACUUCCGUCCAGGUGAUGCUUGGGUGGUGAGGAUGUGUGCACACGUGUUUCUGUGUCUCGGAUCGUGAUGUUGUUCUUACUGUAAGUUAUAAUAUUUAAACAUUUGAAAGCAACUCUAUCAGCCUGAACUCUGCUUCUGUCUUUGGAUUUCUCACUUUGAGAGGGACAGAGCAGCGCACAGCAUGAGCAGGGGAGGAUGGGGGUGGGAAGAGUGGUGAGCAGAACAAGGUCUCCAGUCCUUCUCCCCUCAAGACUGGGAGCUUCCUCCAGGCUGCUGCUUCUCUGGCCUGCCAUUGGCGCUCAGCCUGCAGGACUGCGUAACUGGCAGGGCAGGCUGGCUGGCUGGCUGGCGUGCUAUCUGACUAAUUAGGCAAGGUCAGUGCAGGAGGUUUCCGAGGCCACAGCCCAUUGGGAGACUGUUUAGGUGGAGCUAGGAGAAGCUUCAAAUUUGGAAUUAGGCAGAAUGUGAGGGCAAUGCAAGAGGAGACUCUGCUUCCUGCUAUGCAGCCUUUGCCAGUGGCUGGACACUGAAGGACCCUGGGAAGUAUUUGUCAGAGGACCAGGUGUCCAUAGCCACUCUCUUCUAUGCUUAAAUGCCUUUUGGCUAAUUGCCUAACCUUUUUGAGCAGCAGUUUCCUCAUCUUUAGAAUGAGGAUAUGAGAUAUGACUACAUUUUCCCGAGGGUUGCUGGAGGAAUCAAAUGUGACAAAUUUGAAAGGAGCUAGCUGCACAUCAGGUGGCUCUUUUCCCGAAGAGGGACUGACGUUUUUGUCCUUCUCUCCUGAGGUCCUGAGGUUCUUGGUUUCUAGAGUCCUUCCAUGUGCCCAUCAUUGCUUCUGUGACUGCAGCUCCGGCUGGUGGGACCCCAUCUUCUAACAGGAGACUAGAGGAAGGGACUGGCGCCGCUUCAUGGCUUCUUCUGUCUGGAGGAUGCCCUUUGCAGACACAGUGCUGCCGGGCUCCACAGCCUCCAGGGCUGAGGCUGCAGGUGAGGCCCCUCCAUGCCUUCUGGGAAGCUGGCCACACCUUCUGACAUAGCCAGCACUGCUCAGAGCUCUCCAACUUUGUGCCGCUUUGGGGCAUUCUGGGCCAAUUACUACUUUCGAUGCACUCUAAUAUGUUCUGAUGUCUGACAAUGACCCAUGAACUUGAUUGCAGGACCCACAGUGAAUGAAGCAUGGUCCUCAGACUGAGAGACAUUUCAUUCUCGGUACUCAGUUCUUUGGUACCUAUAAUGGAAGGCAUUUUUCUAUGAGGACAUUUAUAUUCAUGUAUAUUAUAGAUGUAAUUUUAAGUGUGAUCCUUCUCUGCUCUUUUCUAAUGUGCUUUCCUGUAUUUAACUGUUUCUCAUGUGAGAAUGAAUGUGCUUUAGUCCUAACAUCUGCAUAGUAUUCCAUCACAUCCUGUUCACCUAAUUUCAUUAACCAAUUAAACUCCUGAUGGGCAUUUGUCUUAUUUCUAGUUAUUUUGCUCCCGAUGAGCAUGUUUACCUACUUGGGGGAUUAAUGCUUUGAGUCUUCUAUGGGAGAUGGGUUUUAUUUAGUGAGAGAUAUCUAGAUUUUGGAAACAUUGGGGAAUGGCUUGGCAGUGGGUUUCUUUGACUGUUGUAAGAGACAUUUUUCCAGGCCUGAGUGUUUCUGACUGCGGGCUCUGUGGAUGCACAGAGGGCUCAGAGUCAUCUUCCUCGCCGUGUGGAUUUUGGAUAGGGAUGGCCAGAGAGAGCGGUGAGUAAACCUGCUGUGCGUGAUGGGAAGGAACUAGAGAAGAUUUUGCAGGAACACCGGACCUGAGCUUCAGGUGGGUGGAAUUCUCCACGUGAAAAGGAAAGAGAAAGGCAUUCUGACAUAAGAAACAGAGCUUACAAAGCCUGGGAGGGAGGAGGGUGAGCCUGCCAUGUUUUGCAUUUGGCAAAUCCCGGCUUACAGGAGGGAGGGUCCAGCAGGAAGCUGCCAAAGGUGCGGAGGGAUAGCAGGGACCAUGCUGCAAAGCCUGUGCUUGGAGCGAGGAGGAGGAGUGAAAUGUCAGUGGAGGUCACGGGCUCUGGGGUCAAGGGGGGCGGGCGCUCCAGUCUUCAGCUCAUGGGUGCAAGGCCUUGUCAGCAGUGCCUUUGGUCCUGGCAGAGCGCACAGUAAGGGCUGGCCCUGGCUCUCCUCUGGCCGUGGGCCUCUGCAUGGGAUUCGGUCAGUGGGGUCAAGGGUCACCUACCCAGACCACAGGCUCUGUUUUUCCAACCACAUGAGCCAUGAAUCUCAUCCUAGUCUACGUCCAGGGCCUGCAAGAACCUCUUUCAUGAAUGUGUGCCCCUGAGGGUGCCAUUUCUGGGUGCAUUCCAACUUGAGCAGUGCCCCAGGGUUGGCUGCUUAUAGGAAAUACAGGCAAAGCAGGCUGGAUCCACACACCCAUGAGGAGGCGCUCCAGUGUAAGACAGAGCCAAGACGCAAGGAGGAGGGGGCCCCACUUGGCCCCACUUGGCCCCACUUGCCCAAGGCCCCAUAAAUGUCAAGGCCACUUAACUCUUUGCUUCUGAGUUUCCUCUUCUCUAAGGUGAGAUUCCUCAUAGACCCUGUGUCAUAGGGAUUUGGUGGAGAUUAAAUAAGAAUUCUAAUGUAAAGUGCUCAGUGUAAUGGCUAUGUGUAGUAGGUGCUCAGUAAAGGCUUAUUGUAGGGAAAGGGUUCUCAGGGAGGCUUUGGAGCUGGCAGUGCAUGCUGGAUGGGGGUGUGGGAUAUGAGGUAGCCUGGGGGUGGACAGCCACAGGCAGAGAGACCAGUAAGAGUGAGGCACAGCACUGAUGCAGAUGGGGGUGUGGGUAGUGGGGCUAUGAGGCCAUGGUGUCUCCAGGCAUCUGUGGUCACUGGAAUUGGGGCUGCACGACACUUUCCACUCGGUCAUUGCAACCAGCAUUUCCAUAACAUAAUCCUUGACUCCAGCAUGAGAGUGGCCAGGUGGUUCUGCUAAAUGCAGAUUCCCAGGCACCUAGCAGACACUGAAGUCAAAAUCUUGGUGAAUGGGAGCCAGAAGUGCUAAUAGAGCUUGGUACAUUUGUGAACUGGGGACCCAGUGAAAUAAAGAGCAGUUGCCAACUAAAGGUUGGGUUUUAAAAUCUGGAAUGACAUUGAAAGAAAAGACUAUUAUCUUGCUGGCAGGAAGAAACUAUUACUUAGUAUGUAUCAACUAUUUUGGAGGAAAUGUCUUUCCAAACAUGAAGCCAAAGGAGAAAAAGAAUAAGGAGUUGGUGAUAAAGGCUUUAGAAGCUACAGCUUAGAAGGAGGCUGUGUGUGUGUGUGUGUGUGUUUGUGUGUGUGUAUCUAAGAGAUUGCAAAUCGAUAUCCCAUUUCCCUUGGAGUUUACACAGCUGCCCACAGGGCGAUUCCUGACUCAAGGAUAAAUAGGGCUAUAUCAUUGUGCAAGGGAACAAUGAAUUUUCCAGAUGGGCCACAUAUCCUUUCCCUGGCCUUUCAGGAGCUAGUUCAGGCUCUCUGAGAAGCACACACACACAUCAAGCCCUCCCAAAGCCAGUUCCCCAGGUUGCGCGGGUUGGUGAGCGAUUGCGGGUGUGUGGGAGGAAGCCUCGUGACUGAGCUAGAUCCUCUGAACUCAGGCAAGGAUUACUGUGAUUGUUGCUGGAUUUUCUCACUGCUGGACUCUGGUUACAUUGAGGGAAAGGUCGUCUUGUAUUUCUCUCUGUCACACCUCCUGUGUCCAUCAGGAUUGCUCAGGUUGUGCUGCAGUCAUGAGGGCCGAGUGUGGGUCCUUGCUCACGCUACGGUGUCCCUCAUGGGCCAGGUGGGGCCGGGCCUGUGUCAUUCUCACUCUGGUACCCAGGCUAAAGAUGGAGCUGUCAGCAUCUGGGCCACUGCCAGUCACCAGGGAAGGGGGAAGGAUGUGUGGUAGACUUCACAGUGCAUCUUAAGAACUUCUGCCCGGACUCACAAAUGACUACUCACAUUUCAUGUGGCACCAUGUAAGUGAAAGAAGAUGCGAAGUUUCAUGAACUUAGUUUUUGGGAGGAGGAAACCAGAAAUAUUGGUCAACAGCAUGAACGACCUCCACACUAGUGUAACUAACUAGGGCUUGGACCUGUACAGGAAAUGAGUGGAAUGGGCUCAUCAGGAGUCCAGAGCUAUAGGAAUGAGUCACAUGAGCAGAUGCUUGGGGCUGGGGUAUCCAGGUGCUGCAUUGCUGUCUGGGCAUCCAUUUCUGUAUUUAAAAAAUAGAACACUUCCCCCUUUAACUUUGAGUUUUCCCUUUGUCUGUAAGCUAGGUAGGCAUUACCAACUGAGCUGCCAGUUUGAUCUCUAUGAUUUGAAUUCUGAAUGCCGUUCAAGGUCUUCCUGGGAAAUGCCUGGCACCAGACACAUGAAGUUGUAAUGGACAUCCUGAGUGGGCACAGCUGGAAAACCUGAGCAGCACUCGGGGAGCAGUCCUCCUACCCCAGCUGUUUGCAAUGCAAUACGCGCUCCGUCGGAAGGCGAGACUAGAGGAGCCCCAAGAGCAUGAGCUACCAGGCCUGAUGGGCUGAGUUCUCAUCUCACCCUCAGCACUUGCUGUGCGGCCUCGGCAGAUGACUCUUCUGCUCUUGGCUCCUUCCCUUAGGUUCAGUGUGGGCUGAUGAGUUCACCUGUGCAGUCCUGCAGCCUGACACCUGACAGCGAUCGAGUGCUCAGUGAUGCAUGUUUGCUGUGAGCCUGACUGUUACCAUUCCUUUCUGCAAGCAGAGACCCCAGUGCUCAAAGCUCAGUGUUUUCAUGCGUGAAACAGAAACACCAAGGCCUCAGCCCAUGUUUUCAAGUCCUGAGGUCGGCGGCAACGCCUAACACAAUGCUGAUUCGAAGUCGGGAGCCGAUCUUGGGCCAUUUCGCCUCCUGGUUCCUCAGCUCUCCCAUUGUACAAGCUCAGGAAAAUCACGAUAUUUGUCGGUGCCUCAGUUUCCUUAUCUGCUGGAUUGGAGCACUCCUGAGGCCCCCACAGUGCCCUGACUUUAUGGAUCCUUCUGUCUCCUUCCCUCACCUAAAGGACGAGACUCAGAAGCUCCAAGACCAGUGUGAGACAGAGACCAGUCUCUUGGGCAGAUCACAGACAGAACGGCGUGUUGCAGAUAAUUUCUUGCCUAAGUAAAGAAAUGUGGAAGUUAAUCCCCUCUUCUAGACCAUGUGUGUUGGAGGAAGUAUGAAAAAAGGAUGAAUA
Non-coding RNA from Heterocephalus glaber (naked mole-rat), 12029 nucleotides. NCBI's taxonomy places the organism in Eukaryota, Metazoa, Chordata, Mammalia, Rodentia, Bathyergidae. The record is from RefSeq and is a predicted model, not a curated record.